UAGGGAAUCUUCCGCAAUGGACGAAAGUCUGACGGAGCAACGCCGCGUGUGUGAAGAAGGAUUUCGGUUCGUAAAACUCUGUUGUUAGGGAAGAAAAAAUGUAUAGUAACUAUAUACAAAAGAGACGGUACCUAACCAGAAAGCCACGGCUAACUACGUGCCAGCAGCCGCGGUAAUACGUAGGUGGCAAGCGUUGUCCGGAAUUAUUGGGCGUAAAGCGCGCGCAGGUGGUUUAGAAAGUCUGAUGUGAAAGCCCACGGCUCAACCGUGGAGGGUCAUUGGAAACUAAUAAACUUGAGUGCAGGAGAGAAAAGUGGAAUUCCUAGUGUAGCGGUGAAAUGCGUAGAGAUUAGGAGGAACACCGGUGGCGAAAGCGGCUUUUUGGCCUGCAACUGACACUGAGGCGCGAAAGCGUGGGGAGCAAACAGG
This 429-nucleotide ribosomal RNA is filed under the name Verrucomicrobiota bacterium. RNAcentral describes it as "Verrucomicrobia bacterium partial 16S ribosomal RNA". It matches the Rfam family "Bacterial small subunit ribosomal RNA", at positions 355 to 776 of the family's 1533-position model. The record is from RNAcentral. Lineage: Bacteria; Pseudomonadati; Verrucomicrobiota.